This 1203-nucleotide long non-coding RNA is filed under the name Homo sapiens (human). Its description in RNAcentral is "HSALNT0064149". Lineage: Eukaryota; Metazoa; Chordata; Mammalia; Primates; Hominidae. The record is from RNAcentral.
CUGAAUUUUGCCUCUGGUUUUUCUGGCUCAACAUACAGUUUUUGGGAUUUAGCCAUCUUGUUCUUUGGAUCAAUGGUUCAUUCCUUUUUAUUGCUAAAUACUUAUCCAGUGUAUAACAUACCACAAUUUGCAUAUCCAUUCCAUUGUUGAUGGAUACCUUUCCAGCUUAGAAGUAGUAUGAAUAAUGCUCUGUAAACAUUCUUAUAUAAAUCUGUGUGUGAACAUAAGUUUUUAUUUCUUUUAGGUAAAUAUCUAGAAGAUAACCUGCUGGAUCAUGAGGAGAUAGAGAUUGCAUCUGACUGGGACUAAGCAACCCUCGGAAGCACCAAACCUCACCUCCCUUCUCAACACCUGACUCCGGCCUAGGGCCUUCCCACUGAGGUAGAAAUUCUUAUGGACUGGAAUCUUCCUCAAGGCUUACUUUGUUCCUGGGAUGCAGUGGUGCAUAGAAGAUAGGGCAUUGACUCACUCAGACCUGGCUUGCCCAGCAUGCAUUGCAACAAUGAUGUGCAAGUUAUUAAAGACAUGAGUGAAUUCGUAAGUAUAGUGUAAUUUGAGAUUUCCUAUGCAAGGUAUUCUAGAAAUGCCAAGUAUCUUGUUUACAACAAACCAAAAACUGAAAUGUUGGUUGUCAUGUUCACUACCACAUAGAAAAUACACAGUGAAAGACUUUCACAUUUUCAGUAAAAUAAGCAAAGGGGGAACGGUGAUUUAUCUUGCUGAAGUUCUGUAAGGCAAAAUUAUUUAGUUCAUUGUGAAAGAAAAUAAAACGUGCUCUAGAGAACAGAACACAUAGCUUUUAGAGAGAUAGGCUGCUUUUAAAAAGAUGUCUGUGAUUCCACAAUAAUGACAUAAAAGCCCUAAGUGUUAUUUCCUAGUCCUUACUACAUUUUAACUGUCACUGAAACUAAAGUAAUGGAAAAAUUAUAUUUGUAUGUAUAAAGUAACUAUAAAUUAUCCACUCAUUACAAAACAUCUUAUCCUUUAUCUAUUUAGAUACAAUUAUAGCCUUGCUCUCCAACAUUUUGGAGAACAGGAUGUUGGUUAAUAAAAAUUCUAGUUAAGUAAGUAUUCAAUUUUUUUUUAGUCUUUCUCUUAUAUUGUCCUUUAUUCAGUUCUCCUAGACUGACAAAAAAUGUGUCCCAGUGAUGUAGCUUUUCCUUCCAAAAAAAUUAGCAGGAACAGGCUGGACGCAGUGGCUCA